AGAAAAGGGAGGGGGAGAGAGGUAGGGAAGAGGAAACGGAGAGGGAGAAAAGGAAAAGGAAUGAGGGAAGAGUGAGGAAAUGCAAUGGAAGUGUGAGAAAAUGAGCGGAGGGUAGAAAUGGGAUGGAAAGGUGGGAGAAAAUGGGGAAGGUUGGGAAGAGGAGAGAAAAAGGAGGGGAAAAUGGGGGGGAAUUCGGGGAGAAAAGGAAGAAUAGGGAGAGAGGAAUGGGAGCAGUGGGAUAAAGGUGGGGGAAAUGGGAUCAGAAACGUGGAUGGAAUAAAGCUGAGGAAAAUGAGGGAAAGAUGGAAUAAAUGACAGAAAAUGGGGCAAAAUGGAACAAAGGUGAGAAGAAAUCGAGGGGAGAAAUGGAAUUAUGAAAGAGAACGGAAUAAAGAUGGGAAAAAACGGAGUAAAAACGGAAUAAAAAAUGAGGAAAAAGGGAAUGUGAGAGAAAAAUGGAGGAAAAAUGGAGUAAAAAUGAGGAGAAUGGAAUCAAGGUGAGAAAAAACGAGGGGAAAAUGGAAUCGAGAGGAGAAAAAAAUGGCAUUAAAACCUGGAAUAAAGAUGAGAAAAAAAAAAAAGAGGGAAAAGACGGAAAAGAAUAAAAGAAAAAGGGGCGAAAAAGCAGCGAAAGACUGCAAAAUGAGAGCAAAGUGAGGGGCAAAAAGGGGCCGACGGCGCAUUGCGUGCUCACUGCAGAGGCAAACAACGGUGCCGCAGCCGCACGUGGGUCGGUGCACGCAGCACCAAUGGCCAAAAGGUUGGGGGUUUGUGUCGCUGCCGCGUGGUUUUGGGCCGAAAAAGGCCGAUUUUGGGGCGCGGAGGUGAGUAUGGGGCGAGCGGCGGUUGCUUAUUUGUGCCUGUUAACAAACUCUGGUUUUGUGUGCUGCAGGUGUGAAAGGCAGCGACACUUUGCAAUGCUCCGCCUUUAUCCGCAGCUUUUGGGUUCAAAAAAAAGCAAUGAAGAGAGAGAGGAGAAAGGGAGGGGGGAGCGUCCUGUGGGGGCUCUGCUGCAAGCAGCCGGCGAGGCCAAAAAGGGCCCCAGAAAGGCCAGAAAAGGCCCCAAAAUGGCCAAAAGAAACCCCACAAAGGCCAAAAAAGACCUCAGGAAGGCCAAAAAAGGCCCCAAAAGGGCCAAAAAAAGCCCCAAAAGGCCAAAAAGGGCCCCAAAACAGCCAGAAAAGGCCCCAGAAAGGCCAAAAAAGGCUCUAAAAGGGCCCAAAAAAAUCCCCAGAAAGGCCAAAAAGGGCUCUAAAAGAGCCAAAAAAGACCCCAGAAAGACCAGAAAAGGCCCCUGAAAGACCAAAAAAGACUCCAAAAGGGCCAAAAUUACCCCCAAAAGGCACCAAAAGGGCCAAGAAAGGCCGAAAAAGACCCCAAAAGGGCCAAAAACGGCCCCAAAAAGGCCCCCAAAAAAGGGCCACAGGGCUUUUAUUUUUGAGGUCAGAAAGUGCCAAAGAGCCAUUUUUGGAGCGGCCCCCCCCAAAAAAAGGCAGAUUUGGGUUUUUCCCAACUUUUGGAUACAGUAAAAUGAGAUGGGGGGGGGGGGGCGGUCCUACAGGGGGGGGGUCUGCAGAAAGCAGGGAAAAAACCCCAUAGAAAAACGCCCCCCAAAGGGCCACAUUGCCCGGGGUUCAUUUUUUUAGGGUCAAACGGCCGUUUGAUUUGGGCAUUUUUGUGGUUUUUGGUUUUUUUUUUCCCCAACUUUAGGAUUCAUUUUGGGGGGGGGGGAACGACCCACAACCGUGUGGGGUGUGCGGAAAGCAGGGAAAACGACCCCAAAAAAAGGGGGCCAAAGCCUUUUUGUACGCCGGGCCCAAAGGUGCCCCGCAGGGAUCCUUCAGAACGGCCGCAAAGAGCUCCAAUCGGCGUUUUUAGCCAUUUUCUGACCCCCCCCCCCCCCAAAAUCCCACCCAAUCCCACCCCACCCCCCCAUUGGGCAGCGCUGCGUGCGAGAGGAGCGUCAACGACGGAUGGAGACCCCCAAAACCCCCCCCAAAAUACCCCAAAACCGCCCCCCCCCCCCCCCCCCCCCCCCCCCCAAAACAAAGCACAGAGGGGCUUCAGGAUGGAGGAAAAACGCCGGUUUUACCCCCCCCCAAAAAAAAUAACAACAAAAUAAAGCAAUUCAGGGAUUAUAAAACUGCCCCCCCCCCCCUUCAAAAGCAUAAAAUGAACGAAAAACCAAAAAAAAAAACAAAAAAAACCCAAAAAAAAAAGCUUCAUAUCUUCUAAUUUAUCUCCUCAGCGGUGGUGAGCGUGGUGGCUUCAAUAAAUUUGGUGGUAAGUGGCAAGAGUUGAGCGUUUGAACCCAAAAAGGGAACGUAGCGGCCAACGCAGGGAAAGAGUGUAUUUGUGUGCUGUAACCCCACUUCUCUCCGCAACAGGGGCCGCGUUUUGGGUGGAAAAAGGCCCGAAAAGGGGCAAAAUAAAAGGGCUCUGCCCCCCCUCACCCUCCUCACAGUGAGCAAUGGGAGAUGGUGGCGGUUUUGGGUGGAAAAAGGCCCGAAAAGGGGCAGAAUAAAAGGGCUCUGCCCCCCCCCUCCCACUCCACCCUCCCCAUGGUGAGCAAUGGGAGAUGGCGGUGGUUUUGGGUGGAAAAAGGCCCGAAAAGGGGCAGAAUAAAAGGGCUCUGCCCUCCCCCUCCCACCCCACCCUCCCCAUGGUGAGCAAUGGGAGAUGGCGGUGGUUUUGGGUGGAAAAAGGCCUGAAAAGGGGCAAAAUAAAAGGGCUCUGUCCCCCCCCCCUCCACCCCACCCUCCCCAUGGUGAGCCAUGGGAGAUGGCGGUGGUUUUGGGUGAAAAAAGGCCCGAAAAGGGGAAGAAUAAAAGGGCUCUGUCCCCCCCCCUCCUUCCACCCCACCCUCCCCAUGGUGAGCAAUGGGAGAUGGCGGUGGUUUUGGGUGGAAAAAGGCCUGAAAAGGGGCAAAAUAAAAGGGCUCUGUCCCCCCCCCCUCCACCCCACCCUCCCCAUGGUGAGCCAUGGGAGAUGGCGGUGGUUUUGGGUGAAAAAAGGCCCGAAAAGGGGAAGAAUAAAAGGGCUCUGUCCCCCCCCCUCCUUCCACCCCACCCUCCCCAUGGUGAGCAAUGGGAGAUGGUGGCGGUUUUGGGUGGAAAAAGGCCCAAAAAGGGGCAGAAUAAAAGGGCUCUGCCCCCCACCCCCGUCCCCAUGGUGAGCAAUGGGAGAUUUGGGUGGAAAAGUGGCAUUUUUGGGGGUGGGGGAGCAAAAAAUAACCACCCCCCCCCCCCCCAACAGACUUCAGUCAAUAACCCCAAAUCCGCCACGGUUGGAGCGUGAAGGCAGAAAU
RNAcentral lists this long non-coding RNA (3307 nucleotides) under Gallus gallus (chicken). Its description in RNAcentral is "lncRNA (ENSGALG00010000707.1)". Lineage: Eukaryota; Metazoa; Chordata; Aves; Galliformes; Phasianidae. The record is from RNAcentral.